This 243-nucleotide unclassified non-coding RNA is filed under the name Pseudotomentella sp. Its description in RNAcentral is "partial contains 5.8S ribosomal RNA, internal transcribed spacer 2, and large subunit ribosomal RNA". The record is from RNAcentral. Lineage: Eukaryota; Fungi; Basidiomycota; Agaricomycetes; Thelephorales; Thelephoraceae.
AACGCACAUUGCGCCCCCUGGUAUUCCGGGGGGCACACCUGUUCGAGCGCCAUUUCUACCCUGGAGCCCUGCUCUGUGAUGGGCCCCGUCCUCGCGGACGGGCCCGAAACCCGUGGGCGCCGUCGUCCGGCCCUGAGCGUAGCAAGAGAAAUCCCUCGCUCGGAGUGCCUGUCGGUCGGCCGCCCCGAAACCCAUUUUUACAAGGUUGGCCUCGGAUCAGGUGGGGAUACCCGCUGAACUUAA